RNAcentral lists this ribosomal RNA (497 nucleotides) under uncultured bacterium. Its description in RNAcentral is "partial 16S ribosomal RNA". It matches the Rfam family "Bacterial small subunit ribosomal RNA", at positions 28 to 507 of the family's 1533-position model. The record is from RNAcentral.
GAUGAACGCUGGCGGCGUGCCUAAUACAUGCAAGUCGAGCGAACAGACGAGGAGCUAGCUCCUCUGACGUUAGCGGCGGACGGGUGAGUAACACGUGGAUAACCUACCUAUAAGACUGGGAUAACUUCGGGAAACCGGAGCUAAUACCGGAUAAUAUAUUGAACCGCAUGGUUCAAUAGUGAAAGACGGUUUUGCUGUCACUUAUAGAUGGAUCCGCGCCGCAUUAGCUAGUUGGUAAGGUAACGGCUUACCAAGGCGACGAUGCGUAGCCGACCUGAGAGGGUGAUCGGCCACACUGGAACUGAGACACGGUCCAGACUCCUACGGGAGGCAGCAGUAGGGAAUCUUCCGCAACGGGCGAAAGCCUGACGGAGCAACGCCGCGUGAGUGAUGAAGGUCUUCGGAUCGUAAAACUCUGUUAUUAGGGAAGAACAAAUGUGUAAGUAACUAUGCACGUCUUGACGGUACCUAAUCAGAAAGCCACGGCUAACUACGUG